UACGUAGGGACCAAGCGUUGUUCGGAUUUACUGGGCGUAAAGGGAGCGUAGGCGGCGUGACAAGUCACUUGUGAAAUCUCCGGGCUUAACUCGGAGCUGCCAAGUGAUACUGUUGUGCUAGAGUGCAGAAGGGGCAAUCGGAAUUCUUGGUGUAGCGGUGAAAUGCGUAGAUAUCAAGAGGAACACCUGAGGCGAAGGCGGAUUGCUGGGCUGACACUGACGCUGAGGCUCGAAAGCUAGGGGAGCAAACGGG
RNAcentral lists this unclassified non-coding RNA (253 nucleotides) under uncultured Blastocatellaceae bacterium. Its description in RNAcentral is "contains 16S-23S intergenic spacer region". It matches the Rfam family "Bacterial small subunit ribosomal RNA", at positions 524 to 776 of the family's 1533-position model. Lineage: Bacteria; Pseudomonadati; Acidobacteriota; Blastocatellia; Blastocatellales; Blastocatellaceae. The record is from RNAcentral.